This 373-nucleotide ribosomal RNA is filed under the name uncultured organism. Its description in RNAcentral is "partial 16S ribosomal RNA". It matches the Rfam family "Bacterial small subunit ribosomal RNA", at positions 527 to 896 of the family's 1533-position model. The record is from RNAcentral.
GUAGGUGGCAAGCGUUGUCCGGAAUUAUUGGGCGUAAAGCGCGCGCAGGCGGUCCUUUAAGUCUGAUGUGAAAGCCCACGGCUCAACCGUGGAGGGUCAUUGGAAACUGGGGGACUUGAGUACAGAAGAGGAAAGCGGAAUUCCAAGUGUAGCGGUGAAAUGCGUAGAGAUUUGGAGGAACACCAGUGGCGAAGGCGGCUUUCUGGUCUGUAACUGACGCUGAGGCGCGAAAGCGUGGGGAGCAAACAGGAUUAGAUACCCUGGUAGUCCACGCCGUAAACGAUGAGUGCUAAGUGUUAGGGGGUUUCCCGCCCCCUUAGCGCUGCAGCUAACGCAUUAAGCACUCCGCCUGGGGAGUACGGCCGCAAGGCUG